Molecule: non-coding RNA, 29 nt
Filed under: Mus musculus (house mouse)
Lineage: Eukaryota; Metazoa; Chordata; Mammalia; Rodentia; Muridae
Source: RNAcentral
UCCAAUAAAACAAGCCAGGUAGCUAGUGC